RNAcentral lists this ribosomal RNA (699 nucleotides) under uncultured bacterium. Its description in RNAcentral is "bacterial SSU rRNA". It matches the Rfam family "Bacterial small subunit ribosomal RNA", at positions 138 to 823 of the family's 1533-position model. The record is from RNAcentral.
CUGGAACAACUUACCGAAAGGUGAGCUAAUGCCGGAUGAGUUAUAUAAGUGCAUGUUUAUAUAGGAAAAGUUGGGGAGACCUGACGCUGAAAGAUGGACUCGCGUCCCAUUAGCUAGUUGGUAGGGUAAUGGCCUACCAAGGCGACGAUGGGUAGCCGGCCUGAGAGGGUGGCCGGCCACACUGGGACUGAGACACGGCCCAGACUCCUACGGGAGGCAGCAGUGGGGAAUUUUGCGCAAUGCUCGUAAGAGUGACGCAGCGACGCCGCGUGAAUGGCGAAGGCCUUCGGGUCGUAAAGUUCUUUCGACAGGGAAGAAAAUGCCUAUAAGUAACUGUGUAUGUAUUGACGGUACCUGUAUAAGCAGCCCCGGCUAACUCCGUGCCAGCAGCCGCGGUAAUACGGAGGGGGCGAGCGUUGUUCGGAGUGACUGGGCGUAAAGAGCACGUAGGCGGUGUUGUAAGUCAUUAGUCAAAGACUAGAGCUCAACUUUAGUAAGGCUAGUGAUACUAUAAUACUAGAGUAUCAGAGAGGAUUGCAGAAUUCCUGGUGUAGCGGUGAAAUGCGUAGAUAUCAGGAGGAAUACCGUUAGCGAAGGCGGCAAUCUGGCUGGAAACUGACGCUGAGGUGCGAAAGCGUGGGUAGCAAACAGGAUUAGAUACCCUGGUAGUCCACGCUGUAAACGAUGGAUACUAGGUGU